Molecule: ribosomal RNA, 255 nt
Filed under: uncultured Actinomycetales bacterium
Lineage: Bacteria; Bacillati; Actinomycetota; Actinomycetes; Actinomycetales
Description: partial 16S ribosomal RNA
Rfam family: Bacterial small subunit ribosomal RNA
Source: RNAcentral
UUUUGUGGGGUGCUCGAGUGGCGAACGGGUGAGUAACACGUGAGUAACCUGCCCUUGACUUUGGGAUAACUUCAGGAAACUGGGGCUAAUACCGGAUAGGAGCUCCUGCUGCAUGGUGGGGGUUGGAAAGUUUCGGCGGUUGGGGAUGGACUCGCGGCUUAUCAGCUUGUUGGUGGGGUAGUGGCUUACCAAGGCUUUGACGGGUAGCCGGCCUGAGAGGGUGAACGGCCACAUUGGAACUGAGAAACGGUCCAA